This 497-nucleotide ribosomal RNA is filed under the name uncultured bacterium. Its description in RNAcentral is "partial 16S ribosomal RNA". It matches the Rfam family "Bacterial small subunit ribosomal RNA", at positions 28 to 507 of the family's 1533-position model. The record is from RNAcentral.
GAUGAACGCUGGCGGCGUGCCUAAUACAUGCAAGUCGAACGAACAGACGAUGCGCUUGCUCCUCUCACGUUAGCGGCGGACGGGUGAGUAACACGUGAAUAACCUACCUAUAAGACUGGGAUCACUUCGGCAAACCGGAGCUCCUACCGGAUAAUAUAUUGAACCUCAUGGUUGAAUAGUGAAAGACGGUUUUGCUGACACUUAUAGCUAGCUCCGCGCCGCAUGAGCUAGUUGGUAAGGUAACGGCUUACCAAGGCAACGAUGGGUGGCCGACCUGGGAGGGGGAUGGGCCACACUGGAACUGGGACACGGUCCAGACUCCUACGGGAGGCAGCAGUAGGGAAUCUUCGGAAAUGGGCGAAAGCCUGACGGAGCAACGCCGCGUGGGUGAUGAGGGUCUUCGGAUCGUAAAACUCUGUUAUUAGGGAAGAACAAAUGUGUAAGUAACUAUGCACGUCUUGACGGUACCUAAACAGAAAGCCACGGCUAACUACGUG